Molecule: long non-coding RNA, 1008 nt
Filed under: Bubalus bubalis (water buffalo)
Lineage: Eukaryota; Metazoa; Chordata; Mammalia; Artiodactyla; Bovidae
Description: BOA290U variant 2
Source: RNAcentral
GUCCACAAGAGAAUGCAACACGCAGUGAGAGCCUAAAACCUCUGAAGAAGAUACCUCGUCCUCCAUUACUCUCUAAACUCCGUGCAGGAGACACGGUGGGGCCUGGUGUCAGUGACAGACAGCUGAGCAGAGGCUGGCCGCAUUAUCAGCAACUCUCUGAAUGUGCUUCCCCAAAAGAAUAUUCCCAUCCCAGCAAAGGAAGCCAAGAUCCAGACACUCAUAAAGAAAAUCAACGAUGGACUAAGGGGAACCGUCUCCAGAAAGGUCUAAGUAAAAGAUGUGGUCGGAAGACACUGACUGGCAGACACUCGUGCCCCUGAGGAGGGGAGCCCGCACUAAAGGAUCUCCCGCUCUCACUGAGGGAGCGAGUACUACUGUGGAAAUCACUUCAGCCAGGAAGCUGUGCUGGCUGUCUGGACCAGAACUGCAGCCAAUGCCAGGAUGAUGGAGGCAACAGAAUCCCCCCAGGAGACUCAGGGUGUCCAGUGAGGCGUGGUCCAUGCAUGACAGAAGCCUCCCCACAGACACAGAUGAUGGGGUCACUUACAAUUCCAUGCUGGACGAGCCUGGGUUCCUGAGAAACAAGAGAGAGUGAGUGCCUCCUCCGUGUUCCCUGCCUGCAGUCUUCCAGUGUGUUGUGCCCCAUGCAUUCAGAGGAAUGAUGUGUUAAAUGAAAAUUAACAUGAUAUUAGCAUACCAGGAAAAAUCACACAUCUGUGAUUGUAGUACCCUCCACUCUUUCUGCUCCCCCGGCUCUGGACUGGUGGGCUGUAGAUGACACAGAAAGGUGUCUGUUUUGGGUUGGGAUACAGAUGCUUAUGUUUUAAAAGGGGAAAACAUGGGGCUUCCUUGACAGUCCAGUUGUUAAGACUUUGCCUCCCGACGCAGGAGGUGUGGGGUUGAUUCCUGGUCAGGGAGCUAAGAUUCCCAUACCUCGCUGCCAAAAAACCAAAACAAAACAGAAGCAAUAUUAUAACAAAUUCAAUAAAAACUUUAAAAAAAAAAAAA